GACGAACGCUGGCGGCGUGCUUAACACAUGCAAGUCGAACGGUAAGGCCCUUCGGGGUACACGAGUGGCGAACGGGUGAGUAACACGUGGGUGAUCUGCCCUGCACUUCGGGAUAAGCCUGGGAAACUGGGUCUAAUACCGGAUAGGACCACUGCCUGCAUGGGUGCUGGUGGAAAGCUUUUGCGGUGUGGGAUGGGCCCGCGGCCUAUCAGCUUGUUGGUGGGGUGAUGGCCUACCAAGGCGACGAGGGGUAGCCGGCCUGAGAGGGUGACCGGCCACACUGGGACUGAGAUACGGCCCAGACUCCUACGGGAGGCAGCAGUGGGGAAUAUUGCACAAUGGGCGCAAGCCUGAUGCAGCGUCGCCGCGUGAGGGAUGACGGCCUUCGGGUUGUAAACCUCUUUCAGCACCGACGAAGCGCAAGUGACGGUAGGUGCAGAAGAAGGACCGGCCAACUACGUGCCAGCCGCCGCCGUAA
RNAcentral lists this ribosomal RNA (478 nucleotides) under uncultured bacterium. RNAcentral describes it as "partial 16S ribosomal RNA". It matches the Rfam family "Bacterial small subunit ribosomal RNA", at positions 28 to 523 of the family's 1533-position model. The record is from RNAcentral.